AGCAACCCUGACGGAGCAACGCCGCGUGCGGGAUGACGGCCUGUGGGUUGUAAACCGCUUUUCUCAGGGAAGAAAUCUGACGGUACCUGAGGAAUCAGCAUCGGCUAACUCCGUGCCAGCAGCCGCGGUAAUACGGAGGAUGCAAGCGUUAUCCGGAAUUAUUGGGCGUAAAGCGUCCGCAGGCGGCUUAUCAAGUCUGCUGUUAAAGGUCGGGGCUUAACUCCGGUGCGGCAGUGGAAACUGAUAGGCUAGAGUACGGUAGGGGUAGAGGGAAUUCCCAGUGUAGCGGUGAAAUGCGUAGAUAUUGGGAAGAACACCAGUGGCGAAGGCGCUCUACUGGGCCGUAACUGACGCUGAGGGACGAAAGCUAGGGGAGCG
RNAcentral lists this ribosomal RNA (378 nucleotides) under uncultured cyanobacterium. RNAcentral describes it as "bacterial SSU rRNA". It matches the Rfam family "Bacterial small subunit ribosomal RNA", at positions 376 to 770 of the family's 1533-position model. Lineage: Bacteria; Bacillati; Cyanobacteriota. The record is from RNAcentral.